AUGUGUAACACACGAUACUUGGGCAGGCAGGACACCAGGCCUGCGGUCAAAAGGCCCAAGUUCAUGGUCAUGUCCUUGCCGGGACCCUCUAGCCGUGUGACCACAGGUGAUGCACCGCAUCAGCCCCCAGCUGACUCAGCUACAAAGCAGACAACAGCGCUCCCUUGCAGCAGGCCAUCAAGGUCAGAGGCUGCGCAGAGGCACAGUGCCGGGGUGACUGGCACGGCCUCUACUCCAACACCACCCCGACACCCAGAGCGUGUGUCCAUACCCAGUGCCCCGGGCUGGGGGAAGAAGUCCACCCCUCCGAGGCCGACUCUACGGCCUUCCCUGCCUCCCACACCCCGCCGCUCUGGGCUGGGGCAGAGGCAGCCAGGCCGGCUCUCAGGCACCACGAGCGACUCUCGAGGGACCAAGCCCACGCUCAGGCCCAGGAGAACAAAGAACAGACCGGCGCUCACGUCAGCCCGGGAGAGGGAGGAGGGGCUGCCACAGUCGCGGGGACGGCGAUCCAGGCGGAGACAGCGGCCCAGCAGCAGGACCCCCGGCGCCCCCGCCCCCGCAGGUCAGGGGAGGGAAGAGCUGGCAGCUUUCCGAGACGGGUUUUUAAGAGCUGUGAUCCGAGCACGGAAGAUGGCCCACCUCAUCUGCGUUAGGCGGACCGUCCAGGGAGUUACCUACAUGCUCCCCGCUGUGGAAACUCCAGAGCGCCCACCCCCUCCCUACAGGACACCCCCGAGGCCCCAUCCGGCUCUCCAGGAACCGGACUACUCCAGGUCACGCCAGCCAAGCCCAGGACGGGGCAGACCUGAGGGGCAGGCUCGCUCAGGAAGCACCAGGGCCAUAUCGCUCAGCCGGAACCCAAAUGCUGGCCAGGCCUCGGAGGUGGGGUCUCAGGAUGAGGGCCCGCCCACAGGGGAGCUCCUAACAGACUCUGGAAGGCGGCGCAACCCGGGAAGAGUUCCUUACCAGCGGCUGGCGCGGCGUCAGGCAGGGUCUUGGCAACCCCCCCCCCACUUCCGGGUCUCUUGGAGCAGGUGCCACGCGGAGCCGCGGGUCCCACCCCCAGGGCAGCACUGCACGAGCAAGGCCGUGUAUCUCAGAGAACCCCGUUCUCCCGAGGCUGGUGGCAACCCUGUGCCUGAGACCUGA
Molecule: long non-coding RNA, 1152 nt
Filed under: Oryctolagus cuniculus (rabbit)
Lineage: Eukaryota; Metazoa; Chordata; Mammalia; Lagomorpha; Leporidae
Description: lncRNA (ENSOCUG00000039641.1)
Source: RNAcentral